Molecule: ribosomal RNA, 81 nt
Filed under: uncultured bacterium
Lineage: Bacteria
Description: partial 16S ribosomal RNA
Source: RNAcentral
UGGGUGAUCUGCCCUGCACUUUGGGAUAAGCCUGGGAAACUGGGUCUAAUACCGAAUACACCUCAUGGACUGCAUGGUUUG